GAUGAACGCUAGCUACAGGCUUAACACAUGCAAGUCGCGGGCCCGGGGCGCGGGUGAGUAACGCGUAUCCACCCUGCCCUUCACCACGGGAUAACCCGGCGAAGGUCGGACUAAUACAGUAUGGUGUAGGCUGGGGAUGCGUCCGCUUGGCUUGACGGCGGGGUAACGGCCAACCGUGGCUACGAUCGGUAGGGGUUCUGAGAGGAAGGUCCCCCACACUGGAACUGAGACACGGUCCAGACUCCUACGGGAGGCAGCAGUGAGGAAUAUUGGUCAAUGGGCGUAAGCCUGAACCAGCCAAGUAGCGUGCAGGACGACGGCCUAUGGGUUGUAAACUGCUUUUAUGCGGGGAUAGGUACCGCAUGAAUAAGGACCGGCUAAUUCCGUGCCAGCAGCCGCGGUAAUAC
This 407-nucleotide ribosomal RNA is filed under the name uncultured bacterium. Its description in RNAcentral is "partial 16S ribosomal RNA". It matches the Rfam family "Bacterial small subunit ribosomal RNA", at positions 28 to 526 of the family's 1533-position model. The record is from RNAcentral.